This 460-nucleotide ribosomal RNA is filed under the name uncultured bacterium. RNAcentral describes it as "SSU rRNA". It matches the Rfam family "Bacterial small subunit ribosomal RNA", at positions 26 to 518 of the family's 1533-position model. The record is from RNAcentral.
AGAAUCAACGCUGGCGGCGUGCCUAACACAUGCAAGUCGCACGAGAAAGGGGCUUCGGCUCUGAGUAAAGUGGCGCACGGGUGAGUAACACGUGAAUAAUCUACCUCCGAGUGGGGAAUAACUGAGAGAAAUCUUAGCUAAUACCGCAUAACACUUACGAGUCAAAGCAGCAAUGCGCUUGGAGAGGAGUUCGCGGCCGAUUAGUUAGUUGGCGGGGUAAUGGCCCACCAAGACGAUGAUCGGUAUCCGGCCUGAGAGGGCGCACGGACACACUGGAACUGAAACACGGUCCAGACUCCUACGGAGGCAGCAGUGGGGAAUUUUGCGCAAUGGGGGAAACCCUGACGCAGCAACGCCGCGUGGAGGAUGAAAUAUCUUGGUAUGUAAACUCCUUUCGAUGGGGAAGAUAAUGACGGUACCCAUAGAAGAAGCCCCGGACUAACUUCGCGCCAGCAGCCGC